CCUACGGGAGGCUGCAGUGGGGAAUUUUGCACAAUGGGCGAAAGCCUGAUGCAGCAACGCCGCGUGUGUGAUGAAGGUCUUCGGAUCGUAAAGCACUUUCGACCGGGAAGAACACCUGUUGGCUAACAUCCAACAGCUUGACGGUACCGGGAGAAGAAGCACCGGCUAACUCUGUGCCAGCAGCCGCGGUAAUACAGAGGGUGCAAGCGUUGUUCGGAAUUAUUGGGCGUAAAGCGCGUGUAGGCGGUCUUGCAAGUCGGGUGUGAAAGCCCUCA
RNAcentral lists this ribosomal RNA (275 nucleotides) under uncultured bacterium. Its description in RNAcentral is "partial 16S ribosomal RNA". It matches the Rfam family "Bacterial small subunit ribosomal RNA", at positions 338 to 606 of the family's 1533-position model. The record is from RNAcentral.